GCAGGGCUUCAACAAUAGACAUUUGUUAAUAUUUCUUCUGAAAGUUGGGAAGUCCAAGAUUGAGGUGCUGGCAGAUUCUGUGUCUAGUGAGGGCCACUUUCUGGCUCGUAGACAACCAUCUUCUCCUUGUGUCCUCACAUGGCAAAAGGAAAGAACUCUGACCAUUUCAGAGUUCUGUGUAAAAGCACUAAUCCCAUUCAUGAAGACUCCACUAUCAUGAUGUAAUUACUUUUCAAAGGCCCUGCCUCCUUAUACCAUCACACUGGGGGGUUAGGGUUGCAGCAUAUGAAUUGGAAACUAGGGAACACAUUUUGUCUAUGGUACUAACCCACAUCCAAUUCAUGAGCAAAUCCAUAGGCUCCACCUUCAACAUUUAUUCAGAAGUUAACUUUGAUCACCACCUCCACAGCCACCAUCUUAGUCCAGGACAUCAUCAUCUCUUACUUGGAUUAUUGCAGUAGCUUAACUUGUCCCCCUGACUGUGCCAUUUCUAAGGCAGUCUGUCCUCAACCCAGCAGCUCUUCUGUCAGUUUGCCAGGACUUAGACUUCUAUGAAUCCAUGAAUGUGGGCUGGCUCUGCGAACACUGCUGUGAAGGCUACAUUUUUUUGCGGACCACCUAGGCACAGUUCUGGAGGCGAGCAAGUCCAAGAUCAAAGCACUGGCAGCUUCUUUGAGGGUCUGUUCCAGUAAAAGCAUCUUCUUGCAACAACAUCCUCACAUGACAGAGGGGGGAAGGGCAACAGGACAUGAAUGCUGUGCCCUCACCUGGUGAAGAGAGGAAGAGCAAAAGGGUCUCAGCUAGCUCCCUCCAGCCCUUUUCUAAGGUGCUAAUUCAUUCAUGAGUUAACCACUUCCCAAAAGGCCCUACUUCUCACUACUACCACAAUGGAGAUUAAGUUUCAACACAUGAAUUUGGGGGGACAUUGAAACCACAGCAUCUCUCUUGCCAACUUAAUUAUUUUUCUCCUUCACAUGGGGUAACAUUUCAUAUGCUUUACUUUUUAUCUUGUUUAUUUUUUUCCCUCCUCCACUGAAACUCUGUGUGUGUGUGUGUGUGUGUGUGUGUGUGUGUGUGAUGUGUGUUUUGUUCAUUGCUCUACCUUUAGCACCUAGUACAGUGCUUUGCACAUAGUAGGCACUUAAUAAACAUUUGUUAAAUAAAUGAAUAAAAUGAAUUGAAAUGAAUCAAGAUAAUGCUGGCAAACCUUAAAUUCCCUUAUUUACGAACAGUGUGGACAGUACAGAGGGAAUGGUGUACCCUAGUUUGAAGCUAUGAUAUUCUAAACAGAGGUACUUGACUCAGAAACAGAGCAGCUACGUUUGCCAGGACUUAGACUUCUAUGAAUCUAUGAAUGUGGGCUGGCUCACGAUCACUGCUGUGAAGGCAACAUUUUUUGCAGACCACCUAGGCACAGGUAGGAUAGUCUGCCUGGUCAUCUAUGAUACCUGCAAGCAACAUAGUUGGUAGUUUUAUGUGGCUUAGAUGUUCUGAAUUAUCUGGGGAUCAUGAAUUUCCAGUCAAGCCAGGGGCCAUCACCAGCAUCCUGGAGAACACAAAAGAUGUUUCACCCAAGAGCAUUGGUUCUUUUCACUUGCAACCAUGGGUUGAAUGUGGGCCUUAGUGGCACUCAUUUCACUGUAGAUGCUAAUGAGCAAAUGUGGCCAGGUGGCUGGUCUCUUCCAAGCAAACACACGAGGCAAUCAGUUCAGCUGGCUAUCAGCUUUGGGAGUUCAUAGUAUCUGGCUCCAACACGUCCUAACAAACCCUUCUAUAACUACCCACAGAGGGCAGUGCUUUUCUAGGCUAUGUCAAAAUAUUGCUCUAGUGUGGCUGCUGAGUUCUUAUGCCUGAAUGAACCAUUGAGUAAUCUGUGCUCUCAGCUUAGGACAUGCUUUUAUACAGUCAGCACAGGUGGGCCAGGAAGCCUGUCUGGUUUUCACUAAACUAGACCCUGUUAGUUUUACAGCAUAGUUCACCUUCCACAACAGAGAACGGCAUGACCAAGUAUAGAAUGUAAUUUCUAUGCAAAGGUGGGAAAAUUAACCUCAGGCCUUAUUUAGAAACUAUUUUAUUGUGCUAUGAUAUAAAAUAAUGACUUACUAUGCCAAAAAUUCUAGAAAAAAUGUCAGUACGGAAAGUUGUGUAUUUCUAAUGUUUAUUCAAAACAACUGUUUAUAUAGCAGUCUUGUUAUUUACAGAACCAAGAUGAAAGUCAAAGUGUGGAUUUCUCUAAAAGUUUUACACUUGUUAUAUGAACUUAAUACAUAAUGGGGUAAGCUAGUAAUGGCAUCUAAUGGCAAUUAAUAUG
RNAcentral lists this long non-coding RNA (2311 nucleotides) under Homo sapiens (human). Its description in RNAcentral is "HSALNT0391271". Lineage: Eukaryota; Metazoa; Chordata; Mammalia; Primates; Hominidae. The record is from RNAcentral.